UACAGAGGGUGCGAGCGUUGAUCGGAAUUACUGGGCGUAAAGCGCGCGUAGGCGGUUUGUUAAGUCGGAUGUGAAAUCCCCGGGCUCAACCUGGGAAUUGCAUUCGAUACUGGCAAGCUAGAGUAUGGGAGAGGAAGGUAGAAUUCCAGGUGUAGCGGUGAAACGCGUAGAGAUCUGGAGGAAUACCGAUGGCGAAGGCAGCCUUCUGGCCUAAUACUGACGCUGAGGUGCGAAAGCAUGGGGAGCAAACAGG
RNAcentral lists this ribosomal RNA (253 nucleotides) under uncultured bacterium. RNAcentral describes it as "partial 16S ribosomal RNA". It matches the Rfam family "Bacterial small subunit ribosomal RNA", at positions 524 to 776 of the family's 1533-position model. The record is from RNAcentral.